This is a small nuclear RNA of Cervus hanglu yarkandensis (Yarkand deer), 106 nucleotides long. The record is from Ensembl. Lineage: Eukaryota; Metazoa; Chordata; Mammalia; Artiodactyla; Cervidae.
GUGCUCGCUUCAUCAGUACAUAUAGUAAAAUUGGAACAAUACAGAGAAGAUUAGCAUGGCCCUGUGAAAGGAUGACAUGCAAAUUCAUGAGGCAUUCAAUAUUUGU